CCCAGACUCCUACGGGAGGCAGCAGUGGGGGAUAUUGCACAAUGGGGGGAACCCUGAUGCAGCGACGCCGCGUGGGUGAAGAAGCGCCUCGGCGCGUAAAGCCCUGUCAGCAGGGAAGAAAAUGACGGUACCUGAAGAAGAAGCCCCGGCUAACUACGUGCCAGCAGCCGCGGUAAUACGUAGGGGGCAAGCGUUAUCCGGAUUUACUGGGUGUAAAGGGGGCGCAGACGGCGAUGCAAGCCAGGAGUGAAGAACCGGGGCCGAACCCCGGGACUGCUCUUGGAACUGCGUGGCUGGAGUGCAGGAGGGGCAGGCGGAAUUCCUGGUGUAGCGGUGAAAUGCGUAGAUAUCAGGAGGAACACCGGUGGCGAAGGCGGCCUGCUGGACUGCAGCUGACGUUGAGGCGCGAAAGCGUGGGGAGCAAACAGGAUUAGAUACCCCAGUAUA
Molecule: ribosomal RNA, 447 nt
Filed under: uncultured bacterium
Lineage: Bacteria
Description: partial 16S ribosomal RNA
Rfam family: Bacterial small subunit ribosomal RNA
Source: RNAcentral